RNAcentral lists this ribosomal RNA (245 nucleotides) under uncultured bacterium. RNAcentral describes it as "partial small subunit ribosomal RNA". It matches the Rfam family "Bacterial small subunit ribosomal RNA", at positions 26 to 285 of the family's 1533-position model. The record is from RNAcentral.
AGAAUCAACGCUGGCGGCGUGCCUAACACAUGCAAGUCGAACGAGUAAAGUGGAGCAAUCCAUGAGUAAAGUGGCGACCGGGUGAGUAACACGUGACUACCUACCCUUGAGUGGGGGAUAACCUCGGGAAAACCGAGGCUAAUACCGCAUAAUAUCGAAAGAUCAAAGGAGUAAUCCGCUUUUGGAGGGGUCGCGGCUGAUUAGCUAGUUGGUAGGGUAAUGGCCUACCAAGGCGAAGAUCGGUA